AGUGAACGCUGGCGGUAGGCCUAACACAUGCAAGUCGAACGGCAGCACAGUAAGAGCUUGCUCUUACGGGUGGCGAGUGGCGGACGGGUGAGGGAUACAUCGGAAUCUACUUUUUCGUGGGGGAUAACGUAGGGAAACUUACGCUAAUACCGCAUACGACCUACGGGUGAAAGCAGGGGAUCUUCGGACCUUGCGCGAUUGAAUGAGCCGAUGUCGGAUUAGCUAGUUGGCGGGGUAAAGGCCCACCAAGGCGACGAUCCGUAGCUGGUCUGAGAGGAUGAUCAGCCACACUGGACCUGAGACACGGUCCAGACUCCUACGGGAGGCAGCAGUGGGGAAUAUUGGACAAUGGGCGCAAGCCUGAUCCAGCCAUACCGCGUGGGUGAAGAAGGCCUUCGGGUUGUAAAGCCCUUUUGUUGGGAAAGAAAAGCAGCAGGUUAAUACCCCGCUGUUCUGACGGUACCCAAAGAAUAAGCACCGGCUAACUUCGU
This 491-nucleotide ribosomal RNA is filed under the name uncultured bacterium. RNAcentral describes it as "partial 16S ribosomal RNA". It matches the Rfam family "Bacterial small subunit ribosomal RNA", at positions 29 to 506 of the family's 1533-position model. The record is from RNAcentral.